Aedes albopictus (Asian tiger mosquito) is the source of this 752-nucleotide long non-coding RNA. RefSeq lists it as uncharacterized. The transcript is spliced from 2 exons. Lineage: Eukaryota; Metazoa; Arthropoda; Insecta; Diptera; Culicidae. The record is from RefSeq and is a predicted model, not a curated record.
GAGCACCGCUCAGACGAGAAGCUGGAGCUUUGUCAACGUUGAAAAAAAAACCGCAACACCGUAGCAAGUUGGCCAAAUUCGUCUCCGUUCGGUGAUAUUUGUUCCACCGUUGCUCGACAAACAAUAUCCGUGCCGUGGAUCGCGAGAAGCGAAAACUUUGAGAUAGUUUUGGAGGUUAGGUUGCAGGCCGCUGAAAACGUUUUGUUUGAGUUCCAAGCUCGAUUCCGAGCAAAUAGCUGCCUGGAUAUUGUUUCGCAGAGUUUGCUGGAGAAUGCUUUGCUUACGUCAGGCCGCCAAGCAAAAGCUGGAGCGAGGACUGGAGCAGGAGAUUGAUCGUUGGGAUGAGUGCCAUACAUGCGGGACCGGUACGAAAGCACAUAAACGAAAAGGAUUUUUCGAGUACAGAGAUGCCUACAAACCCAUUGCAUUAUCGGCUGGAUCCUGAAAUAACCUCUCUCCUUCUGGAGCUUCAGGAACCUCCUCUUCGCCAGCUCGGAAAGCGGAUAUGAAAAAACGCCGGAUGGCCAUAUAUCGAUGGGGUAGAAUCCGUAGUGAAAAUCAGUUAGCACCUAGUCCGGAGAUAGGAAAUCAGCUGAGUUUUGAUGUGUUUCUUCUCGCAGUUUAAUUACCGUGCAUUUAAAACAAUAUUUAAAAACCACUAUUUUUUAAACAUUUUAAAGUGUGGAUUCUUUUGUAUCUCGUCAGACUUUAUUGUGUUUGUAAAUUUCUUCAAUAUAUAAUUAUCAACAUAA